GCUGCGUGUUCAUCACCUCCUCCUUCCUCCACCUCUGAUCUGCUCUGUCUGCACCUUACUCCCAGAAGAACGAAGACGCCUACGUCAUUCACUGCACAGUGCCGAACAGUCAAGGUGCUGUGUACAAAGGCAUUCUGUUAACGAGCCAAGACACAACUAGAGAUGUGAUCUCAAAAAUUAUGAGAAAAUAUGAUCUGGACAUGGAGGAAGCAGGAAACUACCAACUUGUGCAGGUCAUUUCAGAACACAAAGAGCUAGUCUUCCCACAGGAAGCAAAUGUGCUUUCUUAUAUGAACAGCCAGGGGAACGCAGACAUCAGCCAAAGAAGAAAGCCAGCUUUCCGUGCCUCCCCAUUGUCUGCUGCAGACAAGAAAAAGAGGAGGCGCCUACCUCGCCUCUUUAGAGGCAGCAGGGUCAGACCCGAAUGAGAGCAUCCUGACAAGGAGCUGACACGAAUACCAUUCUCAGGCUGGGGGAGACUGGGAACCUGUGGGGGGUUGGGGUGCAGGCAUGGGAGGGAUGGGGUCAGGUGGGAAUGGGGAGCAGAAGGGAAUAUAAUUUAUGUUCAGGAGGGAUGUUGGGCACAAGGAGUGGGAGGGAGAGGGGGAAAAUGGGAGGGAGGUUUGUUACAAGGCGGGGAUAAGGGUAGGGUUUUGCAAUUGCAAGAAAGCAGACCCCUGGGUGGGGGAAGGGGUAUAUACCCUUCCCCUUGCCCCCCCAGCCCUGCCGGUGCCCCUCACUCCCAACCCACAGCCCCUUUCCCACCCACCCCCAUACCUCCUGGUGCUCCUCCCUUAUCCUGCAGAGAAUGAAAGUAGCCAUCAAUCCCUUCUUCAAUUGCCCUGAUCCCCCUCAGCCUGCUCACCUCUGCCUGGAGCCCCCUCACCUGCCCCUCCAGGGCCUCAGUCCGGGCACAGGUGGGACAGGCAAGAGACUCCCGGCCCCCACGCUACCCCCAGGCCUCAGAGGUCCCGCCAGGCAGCCCCCGCAGACAGGGCUCAGGGCACUGCCCACCCAUCCAAGGGGCCUGUCUGGGUGGAGGCCUCACAGGAGCUGCGGGCCGGAGGCAGCAGCAGGGCAGGGGCCUUGGCUGCGCUCCGUGUCACCACCCCAUAGUAGCACCCCUCCUCCUUCACUUCCCUGAAGUCUCUGGCAUAAGCCCCCAUGUGCUCCUGCCCAUGCCUGGCCUGUGAACUGCAGUCAAACUGCUCCCCUGUUGGCAGUCCCUGUUCGCUGGCUCCCUGGUCACAGCCUGGUCCCCAACAGUUUGUGAUGCACAAACACUCUCGGGAGACGAGGUUAGUUAUAUGCUCAAGACCUUUCCCAGCUUUCAUUGGCACGCAUGGUUUUCAAACUGUUUUGGGAAGGCUUCUGGAUCAUCUCCAUGUUUGUUGUGAGGGGAGAUUGGUGUGUUCAGCCUGAGGGAGCAGCUGGGGCUCGCUAAGCGCCUGCAACUCCAGGGGUUGACUGCAUCCUGAGUACUGCGAGAUGGUGUUUGCACUUGAACCUGGCCUCUUGGCCACCAUGCUCAUGCUGGCGCUGGACCUCUUUGUGCUGGCGCUGGGC
Molecule: long non-coding RNA, 1566 nt
Organism: Alligator mississippiensis (American alligator)
Lineage: Eukaryota; Metazoa; Chordata; Crocodylia; Alligatoridae
Exons: 3
Source: RefSeq, a predicted model, not a curated record